AUUGAACGCUGGCGGCAUGCUUUACACAUGCAAGUCGAACGGUAACAGGCCUUCGGGUGCUGACGAGUGGCGAACGGGUGCGUAAUGCAUCGGAACGUGCCCAGAGGUGGGGGAUAACGCAGCGAAAGCUGUGCUAAUACCGCAUGUGAUCUGAGGAUGAAAGCGGGGGACCAGGCAGCAAUGUUUGGCCUCGCGCCUUUGGAGCGGCCGAUGUCAGAUUAGGUAGUUGGUGGGGUAAAGGCCUACCAAGCCGACGAUCUGUAGCUGGUCUGAGAGGACGACCAGCCACACUGGGACUGAGACACGGCCCAGACUCCUACGGGAGGCAGCAGUGGGGAAUUUUGGACAAUGGGCGCAAGCCUGAUCCAGCAAUGCCGCGUGCGGGAAGAAGGCCUUCGGGUUGUAAACCGCUUUUGUACGGAACGAAAAGGCACUGGCUAAUACCUGGGGCUGAUGACGGUACCGUAAGAAUAAGCACCGGCUAACUACGUG
This 492-nucleotide ribosomal RNA is filed under the name uncultured bacterium. Its description in RNAcentral is "partial 16S ribosomal RNA". It matches the Rfam family "Bacterial small subunit ribosomal RNA", at positions 30 to 507 of the family's 1533-position model. The record is from RNAcentral.